Molecule: microRNA precursor, 76 nt
Filed under: Aquilegia coerulea
Lineage: Eukaryota; Viridiplantae; Streptophyta; Magnoliopsida; Ranunculales; Ranunculaceae
Description: Aquilegia caerulea miR477c stem-loop (aqc-MIR477c, aqc-MIR477g)
Gene: aqc-MIR477g
Source: miRBase by way of RNAcentral
UCGCUCUCCCUCAAGUUCUUCUAGUUACAUAAGAAUUCUCUAUAUGACCAUUAGAAGCCCUUGAGGGAGAGUGAUC